Molecule: ribosomal RNA, 497 nt
Filed under: uncultured bacterium
Lineage: Bacteria
Description: partial 16S ribosomal RNA
Rfam family: Bacterial small subunit ribosomal RNA
Source: RNAcentral
GAGGAAAGAGGGAGGAGGGAAGAAUACAGGCAAGUCGAGCGAACAGACGAGGAGCUUGCUCCUCUGACGUUAGCGGCGGACGGGUGAGUAACACGUGGAUAACCUACCUAUAAGACUGGGAUAACUUCGGGAAACCGGAGCUAAUACCGGAUAAUAUAUUGAACCGCAUGGUUCAAUAGUGAAAGACGGUUUUGCUGUCACUUAUAGAUGGUUCCGCGCCGCAUUAGCUAGUUGGUAAGGUAACGGCUUACCAAGGCAACGAUGCGUAGCCGACCUGAGAGGGUGAUCGGCCACACUGGAACUGAGACACGGUCCAGACUCCUACGGGAGGCAGCAGUAGGGAAUCUUCCGCAAUGGGCGAAAGCUUGACGGAGCAACGCCGCGUGAGUGAUGAAGGUCUUCGGAUCGUAAAACUCUGUUAUUAGGGAAGAACAAAUGUGUAAGUAACUAUGCACGUCUUGACGGUACCUAAUCAGAAAGCCACGGCUCACUACGUC